UUUUUUAUCAGUUAGUUGCCCCGCCUCUGUAGUUUUACCAGGAAUGGGGGGUAAAACUGGAAUUCCUGGAAUUCCUGGAAGGGGAGGGAGAGGAGGAAGUUGUGGCAAUGGUGGAAGAAAAGGGACUGUAGGAAGAGGAGAAAGAUCAGGUAUUGUGGAGUUUUGAGUUAGUUGCCCUGCCUCUGUAGUUUUACCAGGAAUGGGGGGUAAAACUGGAAUUCCUGGAAUUCCUGGAAGUCCUGGAAGGGGAGGGAGAGGAGGAAGUUGUGGCAAUGGUGGAAGAAAAGGGACUGUAGGAAGAGGAGAAAGAUCAGGUAUUGUGGAGGUUUGAGUUAGUUGCCCUGCCUCUGUAGUUUUACCAGGAAUGGGGGGUAAAACUGGAAUUCCUGGAAUUCCUGGAAGUCCUGGAAGGGGAGGGAGAGGAGGAAGUAGUGGCAAUGGUGGAAGAUAAGGGAGUGUAGGAAGAGAUGGAAGAUCAGGUAUUGUGGGGUUUUGAGUUGGUGGUGGAAAUGUGAGCUCAUCAGUUGGAGGAAAUGAGAAUUUCCGAGAACUGAAUUCCUUGGAGUUUUGAAUGCUUGGUUUUUGGUUACAUAGGCUUGGCUGCUUUAGAGGCUUAAAGGUGAAGAACCCAGCUGAGAAAAUGUGUGUUCCUUGCUUUCUUGACUUGAGAUGCAGUGAAGAUGAAGUGGCUAUUGAGGCCACAGCACAAUAUGGUUCACUGCUGCUGAUUAAUUUCACAGAACACCCUUCAAUUUUCUUGACAUGCUUGCUCACAGAGAAAGGCAGAUGAACUCUGAACACUCCAUGGCUAUCUGUUUUCACUUCUGUCUGGAAACUUGGUUUUGAACUCCCAUCUUUGCAUUCAACACCAACAGAAGCCCCUGCAGAAAAAAUAAGUUGAAAAAUAAGUCAACUGAACGCAAAAUUCACAGUAUAAAAAGCACUUUUUAAUUGAGUUGUUGUUGGAAAAUUUGAAAUGAACCUGAAAUGAAGUGGCUGGCAUGUGAGAAUUCUGCUUGGAAACAUGUGUCACAGUAGACAGUGCCUACAACAACUGCAGAUGGGGUCUUCUUCUCAUGGCUAGCUUCUGAGGGAGUACUUAGUGAGAGAGUACUGAUCAAAAAGAGUACUGUAAAAAACCAAGACAUUUUAGAGCAUCUAUUGCCUCUGAGCAACUCUAACUCUAAGAAUGAGUAGAUGUAGGUUGCCUUUUUAUAUAAAUUCCUGAGGCUUAUAGCUGAUAUAAAUAUUCUCUACAGCAUUCAUUAUACACUUUUUUUGUUUCUUUCUGGUUGUUUCGAGGCAUAAAAAAUGAACUUUUUUCUUCAAAUUUUAUAGCCUGCUGGGCCAUCAAGGUAAUUUAUUUCACUCAUGCAAAAACCAGUCAACUGCAAACUAGAAGAAGUGAAUGUAGGUUCAUUUCCUACCACCAAACAACCCAAAAAAGAAGGUUAAUACUGUGAUUGUGAGGUAGAUAUAAAGAGGCCCCUAACUUUUGCUUUGUUUGCUUACAUUUAUUGAGUUUGUUUCUUUGUUUGGUGUAAGAAUUCUAAAGAGAAUAGUUGGGUCCCCGUUGGUUCACGAGACAAGUGGAGUAACCACAAAUUUCAUGAGUCCGAAGCUGUACACUAUCAACAACACAGGUUGAAGAUGUUGUUGGGUUUAUUUAUGUAUGUUCUUCACACAGAAACAAAAUGAUGGGCGCCUACUAUGAGCUGCUCUCAGUAAUAUAUAUCUGUGCAAAUUGAAAAACUCCCCAAGUACCAAACAAAGUUUACAACUCAAUGUAUGGAUCAGAAUCUUAUUAAUAAGGCUUUUUGGUUCAGAAUGUUAUGAUAAUCAUUAGAUUCAUUUAUUACAAUUUGCUUUAAAUUUUCUAAUUGUUUUUAACAAGUCUUUUCAGUGCAGGUGAUCCAUAAAUAGGUAAAGUAAACAGUCAAGUGAUUGCAACCGAAGAGUCUUUUCCUCAGUCUUUUGACACAAAGUUUUCUGACAAAAAAUAAAUAAAUAAAAUUUAGAUUUUAGCAACAAAAAAAUUUUCACUUUUGAAAAAAUCUAAAAAAAUUUCGAAAAAGACAUAAAAACUCCUUAACUUUCAAACCAAAAGACAUGCAAAUAUAAAUGAUUCCUUUGGAAAUCCAAAAAUAAUAAGGGCAUUUUUGUCUAUUUUUGCUUAUUUUCAAAAUAUUUCUCUCUAUUUUGGCAUUUUCCAAAAUAUCCCCAAAAAAAAACGACAAAGUUUAGACAUCAUCAGCAAUUAUAAGUCACUUGAGCACAGAUGUAUAUUCAAUAAUUGGUUUGGUUCAAAAACUACCAAUCUACAUAGUACAAUGAUUGUGGGACUGAUUAUUGGGAAUUUGUGAGACUUAUUUUAGCAGAAAAUGGACAAUGCAUAUGGCAUGCAAUGAUCCAAACUCAAAACAAAGAAGCUACGACUUCCAAGUAUUUGAGCAAUUUCAAGCCAACUCAGAAAUCUCUGUACUCUGUAGGCUUAUAAGACACUCUCCCAUGUGUUGAUGUUGCAUACAGAUUCCCUUUGCAUCAAUAUCCUUCCAUUCCAACAGUCUGUUUUUUUUUUUUUCUUUUUUAAAUUCAAUUUUCCACAUUUUUUACUGUCCGUCAAAUGCAUAGCAUUUUGGGUGAAAAAGAAAAACAAGAACUUCUACUACUGACAAAAGAGACACCAGUCACACCACAGAGGCACAAACUCCAGAAUUAUGAUAAUUACAUCCUGCAUUGGAAAUUGACAGAUUGUCUUCACGUUCCCCACAGUUUUGCAUUGAGCUGCUAACAAUCCCACAAACUUGCACCGUUUCAUUCUUUGUCCGUGGGCCACAAUUUUUGACAAAUUUGACAAUCUAAUAAGGCGGUUCCUGACAAUCCAAGGUUAUCUCCAUGACAACCACAAGCCACUGUUUCACUGUUAUCUUGUGAGGAAAUUGAAAUGUAACACCAAAUUUUCUUUUACACAGUGCAAGAGAUAAUGCAUGUUAAAAGUUAAAAAAACAAAAGGGGGAUGUUUUUGUCUAAUUCUAUGAUGUACAAAACAUCUCUUUGUCCUUCACGGGUUCCAAAACACAAUGUCACCUCUUCACUUCACGGGCGACCUUAAGCCUGUGGGCUGAGGGCCUUCGUGUCUGCUUGUUGAAUGUGGAGUUUUUCAGCCGAUGGAUACCAUUCCCAAAUGGAUACGUCAAGCUUGAAACAUACGAUGAGAUUCUUGAUUAGAUCCUUGAUGGCUUGUCCAUUAUUAUUGAAUUGAAACAACAAAGUUUGAUUGGUAACAAGGUUUGCCAACUCGAAGGGUAAGAUUGUAGCCAAUCAACUAAACUUUUUAGUGUCAGGUGCAUCCACUGAAUGUAAGGUCUCAUAUUUGAUUUACAUAAAUACAAAGAUGAUAUUUAUUUGUGACGGGUGUAUAGCUUUGUUGUGGGUACGCUUCUCAUUGUAAAAGUAUAUUUGUAAUAACAUCAGUAAUUUUUUCUUUUGUAUUAAAUAACAUUAGACACCUCAUUCAUGCAGGGAAGUUCUUUUAUCACAUUGAAUGUAUAAUGUAUAGCAGCAAUUUUCAUCCGUACAAUAAUGUAAUCAUCAGCAUGUGAUAUUUCUGUUUGUUCUUCUAUCUGAGUUUGUAUUUAUUCCAGUCUGAAUGCUUGAUAUGGAGAAAGAAAGUACUUGAUGAGCCAUCUGUCCAUGAAAUCAUUGGUUUCUAAAACAGCAUAAUAUUUGUAGAACAAAACCAUAGAUUAAAUUGUUAGAUUUCUUUAUGCACAAACAAGAUCUUUCACACAAAACUGUAAUACGUAUAAAGACAUGAAGACAUAUCUGGAGCCAUUUUCCUUGAGUACACAGCUUCUAAACUCAUCCAAUCCGUAGCAGCAGCAAUCCUAGCAAGAAUAGGAAUGGCUCAAGACUUCUGCUCUCUCUCAGAAUCUGUUUCAGCUCUCUCUUUAUAAUGAGAAUAGGUUUAAAGAACGUGUCUGAUGAGAGCAGGGCCUUAAGCUUAUAUAGGGCUAGGUCAAGUCGUCUCUAUUCAUCACCUAGGGCUGACUUGACUAAUCUUCCAAGUCCACCAGAUUGGUUCACGCAUAAAUGGAAAUAAAUAGGACCCCUUAAUAGGCCUCAAAACCCUUCCUUAUUUCACUAAGUUUUGGGCCUCAAUGUACAACUUAAUUUAAACUUUUAUUAAAAUAUAAUAUAACUUAGUAUCUAGUACACCGAUCUAAAUAGGAAAACAUAACAUAAAUAAACCCAGCUGCAAGUUUGUAUAUUGGACUGGAGUGGUACCAUUUGCAGAACAAAACAAUGUGAUACAGCGCAAACUAUAUUGGCCAGUUUGCAGAUUCGAAGAAAUAAUGCAAAAUAAUCACAACCAUCAUCUGUAUGCAAAAACAAAAAAACAAAAACAAAAAAAAAACAAAAACAAAAAAAACAAAAAAAAAAAAAAAAAAGAAGAAGAAAGAAAGAACAAUCAACGAUGCUUGUCAUAAAAAACAACUGCAGAUGGGUGCUUCUUCUCAUGGCUAGCUUCAUGAGGGAGUACUUAGUGAGAGAGUACUGAUAAAAAAGAGAACUGUAAAAAACCAAGACAUUUUAAAGCUUCUAUUGCCUCUGAGCAACUCUAACUCUAAGAAUGGGUUGAUGUAGGUUGCCUUUUAUAUCAAUUGCUGAGGCUUAUAACUAAAAACUAAUAUAAAUAUUCUCCACAGCAAUCAUUAUAAUUUUGUUUCUUUCUGGUUGUUUUGAGGAAUGAAAAAUGAACUUUUAGUUUUUUUUUUUCUUUCAAAUUUUAUAGCCUUGCCCAUCAAUAGUUUCUUUAUUUCACUCAUGCAAAAACCAGUCAACUGCAAACUAGAAGAAGUGAAUGUAGGUUCAUUUCCUACCACCAAACAAUCCAAAAAUAAGGUAAAUAUUGUGAUUGUGACUGUGAGGUAGAUAAAAAGAGGCCCCUUAAUUUUUGCUUUGCUGGUUAUUUGUCUACUUAAAUUUAUUGAGUUUGUUUCUUUGUUGGCGUAAAUACUAAAGAGAAUAGUUGGUUCACAAGACAAGUGGGGUAACCACAAAAUUUCAUGAGUCUGAAGCGUUACACUAUCAACAACGUUGAAGAUGUUGUGUUUAUUUAUGUAUGUGCUUCACACAGAACCAAAAUGAUGGGGGCCUAUUAUAUUGGUUAGAAGUACAAAUAUAUAUCAUCUCUAUAAAAAAAUCACUUGAAUCCGAUAUCAUUUGACCACUCAAUUAAAUUAUUGAAAUUUAAGUACUUUCUUGAAGCACCAUGUUCAUUGAUUUUCUUGGUCUCAAUUAGAUGUCUUAAUGAUUUUCAAUUUGCGUGAUUUUUUGCAAGGAUGAUCUCUGAAUGAAGAUGUGAAAAAUAGAUCGUUUGGAUCGUUGAAAAAAAUUUCGCAGAGAAUCCUACACCCUCAAAAUAAAAUUAUUUGAGAAAUCCCUCAAUAGAAGGGGACUAUAUAAUCUGUGAAAAUUGAAAAACUCCCAAGUCCGAAACAAAGUUUACAACUUUCCAUGGUGUCAGAAUAUGUGGUUUGAGCAGAGCACGGGAUCUUCUCGUGACCUAAUGUGGCAUAUUAAUAGGGUUUUUGCUUGGAUUAAAAUAAUAGCAAUGUGAGACCUCCAAAUCUCAUGGAGGUUUUCUACUUCUAUGAGCAUAGAACAACCCCUGAAUCAUUAGAUUCAUCUAUUGCAAUUUGCUCUAAAAUUUCUAACUGUUUUUAACUGCAUAAAAAACAAGACUUUUUGUGCAGGUAGUCCAUAAAUAGGUAAAGUAAUUCCGGCCAAAUUAAAAGUGUCAUGUGAUUACAACCAAAGAGCCUUUUCGUCAGUUAUUUGGCACAAAGUUUAGAACCUUGUAUCACCACUAUCAGUAAUUAUGAGUAAUUUGAGCACAGCUGGGACAACAAUAAAACAAUGUAUAUUCAAUAAUGCAUCAGUGACAAUUGACUGCUAUGGAUAAUGGGUUUGGUGAAAUAAAAAACUACCAAUAUACUACAUACAACAAUGAUUUUGGGAUUUGAUUAUUUGGAAUUUGAGAGACUUACAUUUAGCAGAAAAUGCACAAGCAUAUGUGCGUUUACCCUAAACAUGUUCAAACCUCAGAGAUAGGCUUUAGAUUGUGUGAAUUGUGAACGUGCCACUAUUAGUGGUGUAAAACCCUAAUAGACUUGAAAGAGAAUUAAGUAACUUGCGCACCAAGAAAACUCACUGAAAUCAAAUAAUUGUGAAUUGAAAUGGUAAACUAAAUCAAAGUUUCUUUUCCAUGCCUCAAGACAAAUGACAACUUUAUAAUUUCUCUAAAACAAUAAGGGUAAUAAACAACAAAUAAACAAGUAAACAAAAGGGAUCCAGAUCAAGGGAUCUUAUUAGAUAAUAAAUUGCCACCACCUUGGAUCACUUCUGAUUGAAUUCAGAGGUUAAGGGUCUAGUGGCAAUAGCAGUAGUAUAUCACAUCACCUUCAAUUGAUGAAGAUCAAUUGGAAAUCGAUACCAGAGACAGAUCUGGCAGAGCAAUUAUCAAGAAAGAUAUAGCAUUUGAGAAGGAAUUAGGGUUUGUACUGAAUUUAUUGUUGAAAAGUUGUGUUUGUUAUCGUGAGCUAUCUAUUCCCUUUUAUAUGAAUUUUGACUUGGUGGAGAGAGAUUACAACCUAUGUCAUGCCAUCAUGAGGAUCAAAUCAUAAUCCAUUGGAAUUAAUUAUUUAGUUGAUUGCCUUAAUCGUCAAGUAAUAUCAUGAUUUCUCCUUGAUUUUCUAGGUAAUUAUCAAUUAAUAGAUAAUUCCCUUUCCCAGCCACUUAAACUGGCCCAAGGAAUCUUAACCGGAUUGCAAUACUAAAAUCCCCCCCAAAUUGGCUUAAAUCUCAUCUGUAUAAAAACUAGGCCUAAACAUUACCCCAUAAGCCCAAUAGACUUGAUUAGAGGGAUUUGGGGUUACAUGCAUGAGCGUGACACCAUGCGUCGUUUUCAUUUCAAUCACUUCAAUCGCGCCAUUUUGACUUCUACUUUAGUCUUUCGAACCUUUCUAUCUUCUUCUCACUACGAAGCCUAGAGAUUCUUAGCGAUUAUCGAUACCUUCAACUUUUCCAAACUUUUGUUACCGAAAGUCUCAAGUUUCACCACCCCCUAACCAAUUCUCGUUUCAGAAACCAUUUCUUUGUCUCAAUGGCCACCUCUGACUCCAACGUCCCAAAGCCUAUCUCUGAAAAAUAUGCUAUUAUAUAUGCAUGCCCAAGACAUUUGUGCAUAAUUGGGUAAAGUUGCUGAUGAUGGUCCAACGCUCGUACAAUUUAACUGAGCGUCCAGACUUCAACACUGGGUCCAUAAAGAACAGUCUACUGCAAAGGUUUGAGUGGAUUGGCGAUCUUCAUGACCAGUAUCCGGAGCUUUGGGAAAAGCAUCGCAUUUACGAUGCCAUUAUGCUUUUUCGUUUUGACACUUCGAGGGGUAUUUGUUCUCAACAUAUGCAGGGGAUCUUUCUCAAGCACAUGAGAAAGUCUACUCAUUAGAUCAUUUUAGUAGCAAUAAUAUUGUAGGGCUUUUUCGUUCUGGCAGCUAUAGAUUAGUCUGGGCUACUGUAAAGAGUAAAUUGGAGAAAACUCCCCAUGUGUCUAAGUUCAAGAAUAAGACCCCAAAAGUGCUUCGAAAGGGUAGCUAAGCCUUAGAAAACACCUUGGUCUUCUUCACCAAUGAAACCAACAGUUGCUUACAAAUAAAUGCUUGGCUUGGCUUGAGAAGCUUGUGGCAUGGAAGCUAAGCAUUCAUGAGUUUAGCAAGAGAGAGAGAGAGAGAGAGAGAGAGAGACCAUAUUUUCUACGAGAAACACAGGUUUAAAGCAAAGGAUUUCAUGAGAAUUUGCUGAGGAGACAAGAUUUUUGGGAGCUCAAAAGUCUUCUUGCAACUGUUCCAGUGGUAACCUCUCAUCUAUGGUUAUCACUUCUCCUUCUUUCCUCCCAUAUUUCAUGGCAAGAGCUGAUAAAGGAAGAAAAUAGAUAGCAACGUUGGUCUGAAGGAUGUCUUUUCUCCUAGCAACCUGCUGGCGCUAAUACCCUUUGGUCAUUUGAAUGGUUUGUCUUGAGGUUUGCACCUGGUCACGUGCUAGAGCCUCACAGCAGCCUACAUAUGUGAGUCAUUCCUUGGCUUUUUGUUGUGGUUUUGUCUCCAACCAUGUGCUGGAGACUUUCAAAUAUUUUUUUUGAUCAUUUGGGCCUUCCUAAGGUAAUGGGUUUGUCUACUAGGGAAUGGGCCAACUUCACAAAGUGAUAGACUACUUUUAUUAAGGUGAUGGGUCAAUUUUCUAAAGUGGUGGGCUCUCUUUUUCUCUCAUUUAUGCUUACCCAGAUAUUUGGACUCAAGAAAUGGGCUCGAGUUUUGGGGCUCCCAAGCAAUCUAAAACUUCAAUUUCUCGGCUCAUCAAUGGGCCUCAUGAAUGCUCGUUACCAUCCAUACUACAACCCACUCAGCAAGCCCCGAACAUUUGCAUGGCUUGGGCCUACUUAAGCUUAUAGCAUGGCUAUGUGUAAUAAUGAUUUUCUGCUUGGCAUUGCAUGUUGAUUGGCGUGCCUGAAUUUUAUCGUCUUUGAAAAGGGAUAUGAUGCUUGACGGGAGAAUUAGCAUGGGCUUGUAGAGCUAGUGCCUUUUAUGGGCUCAUUUCAAUUCUUAGCGUGACGGAUUGCAUAUUUAUUUCGCAUGGCACGUGGAUCGUGGCUCUUGCAAGCAUGCAUGACGAAUUUCGCAUACUCCAAACCGAGUCUCUUCUUAAUUAGGUGUCGCACUGGACCAGGAAUUUAUUUGGACCUCAAGUUACAUACACGAUUUUUUUUUUCUUCACAUGGGUCAUUUUAGUAGUUGUGAUAACUUAAUAGUAUAUCUUCCUAUGUUAAAAUUAUAUACAUGGGAUUUUUCUCAUGCGCGUGAGAGAUUUAGGUCCCAUAUCAUUUUAUUGUGAACUCUUUAUUGAAUAUCCUCCCAUUCGCAAUUUAUGCGCAUUUUCUCAAGCUCAUGAAAGAUUCUGGUGAUUAGAUUACUUAAUGGAACAAUGAACUUAUGAUAACAUUUGUCAUGCAUAUACAUGCGCGCAUGAGAGUAUUGUCAUAGUAUCUAUACAUGCCCCAUUCUUAUCAUCUUCUCUGCUUGAUCUGGAAAUAUUAUCUAUGAUUCGCUAACACGACACGAAUUCACAAGAAAAAAUCAAUAUUUGGGUUUAGCUUGGACUCGUUAGCCACCCAUUAAGCUAAUAGGUCAUAUCAGUAUCAUUCACGAAUAUUCGCUAACGGGUUGUGUUGGUCAUUCACGAAUUUAAACAGGUCAUGUCCGUGUUUGGUAUUUUCCACCCGUUAACUUAACGGGUCGUGUUCAUAUCAACUCGUUAAGAAAGUGGGUCAACACAAACACAACAAUAUAUUUGGUCCAAGUGCUAUGGGUAUAGCAAUGCUGCAUUGAUCCUAAGCUUUUUUAUUUUUUGUUUGGACGGAUGAUGCUAAGCUUAAUGAGUGCAAUAUAUUUUGCUAAAUAUAUAUGAGCUCAAGAAACUCCGAAUUAUGGUGCAGCACCCAACACCUUUAGAACAUUACAAAAGGGACCAACAAAGCUUAACAAGCCUCAUGAAACACUGUGACUGCAAACAAAUCAACUGGGUCAUUUAGGCCCAGUCCCCAAACAAAGUUCUUUCCCUAAUCAUAUUUACGAAUGGAAGUUGAAAGUUGAAGCCACUCAUUUAUUUCACAUGCAAUUUAAUUUGUGCUCUCAUAUUAAUUAUUUAAGCACUAAUUUUAUGCGCAUUUGGUAUUUGAGGUUGAUAAUUUAGUGGUGCUGAUGGACAAGUCUUAACUGUGUGUGUGUUUUGCAGAAGUACAGGCUCAACAGCAGGGGCGCCCAACCAGCAGCUUCUGCCAACAGUUCGCAGAGGGCAGCCCUGUUUUACUACAGGGACAUGUGGAACCCUAGCGCUUCUGAGCAGUCAAACUCUCGGCAGCAGCAGCUCGAAAGUGCAAGGAAUGGUGGAGAUGGCUCUUCAGUUGGUGGCUCUAGCAGAACCAGAAUUGAAAAAAUCAAAGAGUUAGGUUAGAUGAUGUUUAGUUAUGCAUCUGCUGAGAUUUUGCAUAUGUGUAUAUGAGGGCAUGUAUAGCAAAAGAUUAGGAUUCAGGAAAUAAUCAGAACCUGAAAGUUGUUUAUAAUUUCUUCUUUCUUUUUUGGGUCUCAAAAGUUGUUUAAUUUCAUGUUGAAUUGUAGCUGUGAUGCAUUUUUUGUUUUUGUUUUUGCUUUUUGGGUUUCAAUUUCUGCCCAAAUUGGUGCAGUUUAAGUUCUAAAAUUUCCAUUUUCAUGGACUUGUGUUUCCCAAGCAAACUGGUCUAAGAAGAACAAUUCAAUUUUAGCAUGAAGAAGCAAUUUUUUCUUCUUCUUCUCGAAGGGUCUUUUUGAUUGGACAAUGUUGAAAUGCAGCUCCAAAUUCAGCAAUUCAGGUAUAAUUCUACAGAGGGAGUUCAUAAUUAAUGCAAACAGUGGCACAAAAUCUCAGAAUAUAUUGGGAUUUUUUACUAAGUAAAUGAAGUCUGUCAGAUGAUGAGAGAACCAUAGCUUUAUUCCAAGUACAAUAACUUACAUACUCCUUACAAAGUACAAACUUACAAGCCCUACUACAUAUGCUUCUGAUAAUUGCACACCCCAUACAAACUUAACAUGAUUUAUUUAGUUAAUGAUUUCAGUUUAAUAUCAAGGAGAAGUAGUUUGCUUUGAAGAAGCCCGUGGGAUUCCAGGAAUGCGAGAUGUUGGUGGUGAUGGAUUUGGAGGCAAACUUGUUUUUGGAAUUUGUGGUGUUGUGAAGGAAGUAUCUGGGCGAGCUACUUUUUUAUCAUUUAGUUGCCCUGCCUUUCCUAGUCCUGGAAGUCCAGGAAGUCCUGGGAGUCCUGGAAGUCCCGGAAGUCCUGGAAGUCCCGGAAGUCCUGGAAGUCCCGGCAGUCCCGGAAGUCCUGGCAGUCCCGGAAGUCCUAAUAAUUUUUUGUCAGUUAGUUGCCCUCCCUUUGUAUUUUUACCAGUAAAGGGGGUUAAUUGUGGAAUUCCUGGAAGUCCUGGGAGUCCUGGAAGUCCUGUUCCUGGGAGUCCUGGAAGUCCUACUUUUUUAUCAGUUAGUUGCCCUGCCUUCGUAGUUUUACCAGGAAAGGGGGAUGUAACUGGAAUUCCUGGAAAUGAAGAUUUCUGAGAACUGAAUUCCUUGGAGUUUGGAAUGCUUGGUUUUUGGUUACAGAGGCUUGGCUGCUUUAGAGGCUUGAAGGUGAAGAAACCAGCUGAGAAUAUAUAUGUUCCUUGCUCACUUGACUUGAGAUGCAGUGAAGAUGAAGUGGCUGUUGAGGACACAGCACAAUAUGGUUCACUGCUGCUGAUUAAUUUCACAGAACACCCUUCAAUUUUCUUGACACGCUUGCUCACAGAGAAAGGCAAAUGGACUCUGAACACUCCAUGGCUAUCUGUUUUCACUUCUGUCUGGAAACUUGGUUUUGAACUCCCAUCUUUGCAUUCUACACCAACAGAAGCCCCUGCAGAAAAAUAAGUUGAAAUUAAGUUAACUGAACCCAAAAUUCACAAUAUAAAAAGCACUUUUGAUUGAGUUGUAGGAAAUUUGAAAUGAACCUGAAAUGAAGUGGCUGGCAUGUGAGAAUUCGGCUUGGAAACAUGUGUCACAGUAGACAGUGCCUACAACAACUGCAGAUGGGGGCUUCUUCUCAUGGCUAGCUUCUGAGGGAGUAGUCAAUGAGAGAGAACUGAUCAAAAAGAGUAGUGUAAAAAACCAAGACAUGUUAGAGCCUCUAUUGCCUCUGAGCAACUCUAAUAUUCUUGACUCUGAGAAUGAGUUGAUCUAGGCUGCCUUUUAUAUCAAUUGCUGAGGCUUAUAACGAAUAUAAAUACUCUCUACAGUAUUCACUAUACACUUUCUGAAAAAUGAAACUUUUUCUUCAAAUUUUACGACAUGACGCAUUAAGCUUCUUUAUUUCACCCAUGCAAAAAGCCAGUCAACCGCAAACUAGAAGAAGUGAAUGUAGGUUCAUAUCCUACCACCAAACAAUCCAAAAAGAAGGUUAAUAUUGUGAUGGAGAGGUAGAUAAGAAGAAAUAUUUGCUUUGCUGGUUCUUUGUUUACUUACAUUUAUUGAGUUUGUUUCUUUGUUAGUGGUGUUGAGUUGUGGAGAUACAAUUCAACUAGGAAAAGGAUGUGUUUCCUUUUGUUUGGUUUUCUUCUUGGUUUUAGAUUGGCAAAGAGUCACUUUUGGUUCAUGUGGUUUAUCACUUUAUCACUAAAAUCCCUGUGGUUUCAAUUUGAUCACUUUUGCCCGUGUGCUUUCAAUUUGAAACAAUUCAAGGACAAUUCUCAACUUAUGUCAAGUUUUCGUUAACUUCAGAUAUUUGUGGAGGGGCAAUUUGGUCUACAAAUUAUUUAAAAAAUUCAUUCCUUUUAAAAAUAAAAUAUUAAAAACCAAUAAAUAAAUAAAACAAGAAGAACAGCCAAAUACAUAGUAUGGUAACCCAAAUACGCCCUCGAAUACAUGGUGAGCACAGCCAAAGCCCAAGGCAAAAAAUUCACAGCCAACUUGUUCUUUGUGUCCCAGAGUCCAAUCCCUUUAUACGUUAAGAGGGUGAAGUAGAUAUAUAGCAAAGAAGAACAUGUACUGAGAGUGGCUCGAAGGCCAUCCAUGCAAAAUCACACAAGCUCAAGAAACACUGAGUUUCUUUAUUUGGGAAGAAACCUAAAGGCAUGGAACAAAAGGAAUGAGAUGAAGACAACUGUUGAAUUGAUGGCAACUCUAUCCAGGAUGUAUGAGAAGCCAUGUGCGAUGCGACAAUUGUAUUUGAUGAAGUGCUCAUUUAAACUGAAGAUUUGACCGAGUCAUUUGAGAAGAUUUGACCCUUAAAAUUGAUUUUUUUUUGCAUUUAUCUCGAGUUUUAUGUCUCAUUACGACUCAAACAAGCUCGUCAUUACAACUUAAAGGAUCUUAUAGUAAUUGGUUGAUCCUAUUUCAAAAUAAAACUAAGUUAUUUGAUAAGAUUUGACCCCUAAAAUUGAUGCUUAGCAAAGGCAAUUGAAAAAUAGAUAAUUUUUUUUUUGUUAGAAAUAUAUAUAUGUGAAAAUUGAAAAACUCCCAAGCCCAAACAAAGUUUACAACUUUCCAUGGUGUCAGAAUAUAUAUGUUGUUUGAGCAGAGCAUGGCAUCUUCUCAAGACCUAAUGUGGCAUAUUAAUACCCUAAUAAGGGUUUAUUUUAAUUUAAUAUCCCAAAUUUUUACUCUUAAGGCAUGUUUGUUCCUACACUCUUAAUUUUAAUGAUUACAUACCCUAAGCUUUUGAAUUUUGCAAUCUAGUUCCGACAUUAACUUCCCUAUCAAAAUUUUUGUUAAUUGCUUGCAUGGCAAGCGUGGAUCUCACCUAUUCGCUUAUUUCGAUGUCAGUUGAAGAGUGUUUUCGGGUAAUUGGUGUCUUCCCGCCCAUGAAGAACACAUUACAUGCACUAAUACCAAACCAUUUUUGAACAAAUACUGGAAAAUACCCUUCAACUAACAUUCAAAUGAGUGAAUAGGUGGAACCUAGGAUUGCCACGCAAGCAAUUAACGAAAAUUUUGACGGUGAAGUUAACGACGGAUCUAGAUUGCAAAAAAUUGAAAAACUUAGAGUAUGUAAUUGUUAAAAUUGAGAGUGCAUGAGUAAACGUAGCUUUAGGAUAAAAGUUCAGAGUAGUAAAUUGAAAUUAACCAUAUUAAUAAGGCUUGUGUUAAAGUAAUAGCAAUGUGAGACCUCCAAAUCUCAGGGAGGUCUUCUAGUUCUAUGAGGACACUCCCCUGAAUCCAUGAAUAGGUAAAGUAAUUCCGGCCAAAUUAAAGAGUCAUGUGACUGCAACCAAAGAGUCUUUUCCUCAGUUGUUGACAGUCUAGAAAAUUUGCAUCAUCUCAUCAGCAAACAGAUGAACAUUCAAUAAUUCAUCAGUGAAAAUUGGGAGCUAUAAUAAUGCGUUUGGUUCAAAAAGUACCAAUCUACAUAGAACAAUGAUCUUGGGAUUUGAUAUUUGGAAUUUGGAAGACUUAUUUUAGCUGAAAAUGGACAAGCAUACGCAUCCAAUGAUCCAGACCUGAAACAAAAAGAAGCUACAACUUCCAAGUAUUUGAGCGCUUUCCAGCCAACUAAGGAAUCUCUGUACUCUGUACGCUCAUAAGAUAAGACACUCCCAUGUGUUGAUGUUGCAUCCAGAUUCCUUUUGCAGCAAUGUAUAUGUCCUUCCAUCCCAACAGUCUGUUUUUUUUUUUUUUCCUUUCUUUCUUUAAUUCAAUUUUCAACAGUUUUUACUGUCCAGCUGCAUAGCAUCUUGGGUGAAAAAGAGAAAAUAAAAUUAACUUCUACUGACAAAAGAUACACCAGUCACACCACAAAACAAAGGCACAAACUCCAGAUUAAGAUAAUUAGAUCUUGACAGAUUGCCUUCACCAAUUGAUUACCUUGUGACCAAGGCAAUCCCACAAACUUACACCGUUUCAUUCUUUGUCCGUGGGCCACAAUUUUUGACAAAUUUGACAAUCUAAUAAGGUGGUUACUGACGGUUCAAGGUUAUCUUGUGAGGGAAUUGAAAUGUAACACCAAAUUUUCUUUUACGCAGUGCAAGAGAUAAUGCAUGUUAAAAGUUAAAAAAAAAUGAUUGUUUUUUCGAAUUCUAUGAUGUAGGUUUUGCCCUAGGGUUUAGGGUUCCAAAAAACCUGUCAUGUCUACACUUCACGGGCGAGCUUAAGCCUGACGAGUGUCGACAGGACUUUCAUGGCUGCUUGUUGAAUGUUCUAUAGUGGAGUUUGCCAGCUGAUGGAUACCAAUUCCCAAAGCUUGAAACAUAAGAUAACAUUGUUUAUUAGAUUUUAUUUUUAAUAUCUGGUUCAUUAUUAUUGAAACAAUAAUAAUCCUUAGUUUAGAUAGGUAAAUUAUCCCAAACAAGGUUGCCGACUCAAACGUUAAAAUUGUAGCCGAUGAACUAGACUUUAGUUUAGCGUUAGGUGUAUCUCUUGAGUGUGAGGUGGACAUUAAUUUGACCGAACUAAUGAAAUCGACUAAAUCAAACUGUAAUAUUGGUUUGGUUUUAAUUAAGAAAAAGUUAAAUUGUUUAAAAAUCAAACCAGAUCGUGUAUGGUUUGAUUUUGUUUGAUUUUGAACUCUUAUAAACCGACCUAAAUCAAAUCAGACUGUUUAUGUGUAUAUUUAUUUACUUAGAUUUUACAUGUGUAAACUCUAAUUAGAUAAUACCUAUAUAGUUAUUGAAAUUUGAAGUUUUAUGUCAUCUGUCCAUCAAGUACUUUCUUUCUCCAUAUGAGCGUUAUGAUUACAUAUGAAUUGAGUUAUAUUAGUUAUUAAAAUUUGAAGUUUUAUGGCAUUGAAAUUCCCAAAUGGAUAUGCCAAGCUUGAAACAUAAGAUAACAUUGUUUAUUAGAUUUUAUCUUUGAUGUCUAGUCCAUUAUUAUUGAAACAAUAAUAAUCCUUUGUUUAGAUAUGUAAACUAUCCCAAACAAGGUUGCUGACUCAAUCGUUAAGAUUGUAGCCGAUGAACUAGACUUUGGUUUAGUGUUAGGUGUAUCCAUUGAGGUAAGGUGAGCAUCAAUCCAGCCGAACUGAUAAAACCGACUGAAUCAAACUGUAAUUAGCCAUUUGGUUUUGUUUUGAUCAAGAAAAAGUUAAAUGAAAUCAAACCGAAUCGUAUAUGGUUUGUUUGGUUUUGUUUUGAACUUUUGUAAACUGACAUAAACCAAACCGAGCUGUUUAUGUGUAUAUUUAUUUACUUAUAUUUUACAUGUGUAAUACUCUAAUUAGGUAAUACCUAUAGUUAUUGAAAUUUGUUGUAUUAGUUAUUGAAAUGUGAAGUUUUAUGUCAUCUGUCCAUCAAGUACUUUCUUUCUCCAUAUGAGCAUUAUGAUUACAUGUGAAUUGAGUUAUAUUAGUUAUUAAAAUUCGAAAUUUUGAUGGCAUUGAAAUUCCCAAAUGGAUAUGCCAAGCUUGAAACAUAAGAUAACAUUGUUUAUUAGAUUUUAUCUUUGAUGUCUGGUCCAUUAUUAUAGAAACAAUAAUAAUCCAUAGUUUAGAUAUGUAAACUAUCUCAAACAAGGUUGCUGACUCAAUCGUUAAGAUUGUAGCCGAUGAACUAGACUUUGGUUUAGUGUUAGGUGUAUCUAUUGAGGUAAGGUGAGCAUCAAUCCAGCCGAACUGAUAAAACCGACUGAAUCAAACUGUAAUUAGCCAUUUUGUUUUGUUUUGAUCAAGAAAAAGUUAAAUGAAAUCAAACCGAAUCGUAUAUGGUUUGAUUUGGUUUUGUUUUGAACUUUUGUAAACUGACAUAAACCAAAUUGAGCUGUUUAUGUGUAUAUUUAUUUACUUAUAUUUUACAUGUGUAAUACUCUAAUUAGGUGAUACCUAUAGUUAUUGAAAUUUGUUAUAUUAGUUAUUGAAAUUUGAAGUUUUAUGUCAUCUGUCCAUCAAGUACUUUAUUUCUCCGUAUGAGCAUUAUGAUUACAUGUGAAUUGAGCUAUAUUAGUUAUUAAAAUUCGAAAUUUUAUGGCAUUGAAAUUCCCAAAUGGAUAUGCCAAGCUUGAAACAUAAGAUAACAUUGUUUAUUAGAUUUUAUCUUUGACGUCUGGUCCAUUAUUAUUGAAACAAUAAUAACCAAUAGUUUAGAUAGGUAAACUAUCCCAAACAAGGAUGCCGACUCAAACGUUAAGAUUAUAGCUGAUGAACUAGACUUUGGUUUAGUGUUUGGUGU
This 16771-nucleotide long non-coding RNA is filed under the name Prunus persica (peach). RNAcentral's name for it is "long non-coding RNA (PPER_LNC003861)". The record is from RNAcentral. Lineage: Eukaryota; Viridiplantae; Streptophyta; Magnoliopsida; Rosales; Rosaceae.